Molecule: unclassified non-coding RNA, 305 nt
Filed under: plant metagenome
Description: partial contains 5.8S ribosomal RNA, internal transcribed spacer 2, and large subunit ribosomal RNA
Rfam family: 5.8S ribosomal RNA (bases 1-105)
Source: RNAcentral
GAAAUGCGAUAAGUAAUGUGAAUCGCAGAAUUCAGUGAAUCAUCGAAUCUUUGAACGCACAUUGCGCCCGCCAGUAUUCUGGCGGGCAUGCCUGUUCGAGCGUCAUUUCAACCAUCAAGCCCCCGGCUUGUGUUGGGGACCUGCGGCUGCCCGCAGGCCCUGAAAAACAGUGGCGGGCUCGCUGUCACACCGAGCGUAGUAGCAUACAUUCUCGCUCAGGGCGUGCUGCGGGUUCCGGCCGUUAAACGACCUUCAUAACCCAAGGUUGACCUCGGAUCAGGUAGGAAGACCCGCUGAACUUAAGC